Molecule: unclassified non-coding RNA, 343 nt
Filed under: soil metagenome
Description: partial contains 5.8S ribosomal RNA, internal transcribed spacer 2, and large subunit ribosomal RNA
Rfam family: 5.8S ribosomal RNA (bases 1-120)
Source: RNAcentral
GAUGAAGAACGUAGCGAAAUGCGAUAAGUAAUGUGAAUUGCAGAAUUCAGUGAAUCAUCGAAUCUUUGAACGCACAUUGCGCCCGCUAGUAUUCUGGCGGGCAUGCCUGUCCGAGCGUCAUUUCUACCCUCAAGCCCCCGGGCUUGGUGUUGGGGAUCGGCGAGCCUCCGCGCCCGCCGUCCCCUAAAUCUAGUGGCGGUCUCGCUGUAGCUUCCUCUGCGUAGUAGCACACCUCGCACUGGGAAACAGCGCGGCCACGCCGUUAAACCCCCAACUUCUGAACGUUUGACCUCGGAUCAGGUAGGAAUACCCGCUGAACUUAAGCAUAUCAAUAAGCGGAGGA